GGUAAUGAGGAGAGGAGAGUCCUGUGACAGUCUCUGAGAGGGAGCUGAAGAAAUCCAAACAUAACCUCACUUAAGUCUGAGCGAGAGGGAAGAAAACAGAAGAUGGAAGAGAUGCUCUGUGGCUGAUGGAGGGAGAAGGUGACGAGAGAGAAAGAGAGAGAUUGAAAGGCAGAGUGACGGAUGAGAAGCCUCCAGUCCCCAUCCGCCCAGGUUGAGGCGAGCUGACUGAGCGAGGGGAAAUUACACAACCAGCUAUGAGAGAACCCACACAGGGUUAUGGUUGGGGAUUAUGGACUGUCCAGUGCAUGCAGGUAGAGUAUGCACCAGCAUCAGGACCACAGCCCUUUACCUCAGCAUCAGGACCACAGCCCUCUACCUCAGCAUCAGGACCACAGCCCUCUACCUCAGCAUCAGGACCACAGCCCUCUACC
Long non-coding RNA from Oncorhynchus masou masou (cherry salmon), 431 nucleotides. RefSeq lists it as uncharacterized. Lineage: Eukaryota; Metazoa; Chordata; Actinopteri; Salmoniformes; Salmonidae. The record is from RefSeq and is a predicted model, not a curated record. The transcript has 3 exons.